Oncorhynchus tshawytscha (Chinook salmon) is the source of this 1295-nucleotide long non-coding RNA. RefSeq lists it as uncharacterized. The record is from RefSeq and is a predicted model, not a curated record. The transcript is spliced from 4 exons. Lineage: Eukaryota; Metazoa; Chordata; Actinopteri; Salmoniformes; Salmonidae.
UAAAACAGGCUCUAAACCAUUUUUUUGUCCAACCGGUUGCUCAUUUUUGGUGGCAGGAAGACUACAAUCUACCUGAACAACUGUAACAUUUUGCAUCUCGCAAAAGGCUUUAUGGAGUACACAGCUGUGAAAUAUGAGAUCAUGCCAUCACUGCCUCGAGGAUAUCAUGCAGCACUGCCAGUAUCAGACAACAGGAUGCUGGUCAGUGGAGGUUGUAGUGCUAUUGGUGCCUUGCAGGACAUCCAUAUCUUCAACGUGGGUUCUUUUCAGACACCAGUAUGUGGAGUUCAAUGGUAUUCCCUUUGCUCUGCGCCAAGCCUCGUGCCGGACACAGCAUGAACAACCUGGGAGGUUCUGUCCUCCCAAGCACUGUCAAACAGAAGCAGGGCGAGCAUACCAACACCCACAGCACUCUGCUGGUGUUUGGGGGCUCAGACUGCGCCGCCGGGAUCUUCUUCAAUGACCCAGUGAAGUGCACAGUGGAGAUCCCUGGAGAUAAGAGACGGGACCUUAAGGAGAGACUAUAACAGCCUUAUGGGGAAUAAGGGGGAAAAAUUUGACUUUAUAUCCGUGUCUGACUUACAAAUUCUGAAUGAUAUGAGUGAAUGUAUCAUGGGCAGAACUAAUACAGGGACUGUUGAGUCCUUUUUAUUUGCUCUUCUGUGUAAUGGCUCUGUUACAUUAGGCUUGGAUGUAAUUAAAUCUUCAGUAACAGUUUUAUUGUGGCCACUGAAGGCUGUAGUCUAGCCUGAUUUGCUCUUUUCUGUUGAUUGUCAGUUAUGGUGCAAGUUAUGCCUUUUUAAUCACACUGUUGUCAGGUGUCUGACAUUACAUUAUGGGUUGUUAACUUUUUUAUAUUGAUUUUUAAGUGCCAUUCUCCCCAUCUGAGAAAUGGUAUAGGCACCAGAUCUAACAAACAACAUCUCUCCUGUGUUCUAGAUAUUUUCUCACCAAUGUGUGUUGAAAGAAAAUAACUUUCUAUUUAAUUUACAUUUUUUAAGCAUGGGUUAAUUAACUGCUGCAUGAUAUUAGUUGAACUUCAACUAUUUUACUAAACUUAUUAUUAAACAAAGAGCAGACAGCCAUUUCCACUUUCCUCAUGUGUAUACCAGUGGGCUGGUAUUGGUGUACUUUCAUGUUGUCUAUUGUAUUUAUCUUCACAAAUCCACUAUGUUCCAAUGUCAUGUUGAGCAUAUGUCAAGAUGGGGGAACAUGCUGUAUCAGAGGUUAAAAUGUACAUAUUCAAACUCAACUACUCAUCAUACAAGUAAUACAUGGUCUUAACCCAAACAUUC